ACUAAGCGUACACGGUGGAUGCCCUGGCAGUCAGAGGCGAUGAAGGACGUGCUAAUCUGCGAUAAGCGUCGGUAAGGUGAUAUGAACCGUUAUAACCGGCGAUUUCCGAAUGGGGAAACCCAGUGUGAUUCGUCACACUAUCAUUAACUGAAUCCAUAGGUUAAUGAGGCGAACCGGGGGAACUGAAACAUCUAAGUACCCCGAGGAAAAGAAAUCAACCGAGAUUCCCCCAGUAGCGGCGAGCGAACGGGGAGCAGCCCAGAGCCUGAAUCAGUAUGUGUGUUAGUGGAAGCGUCUGGAAAGGCGCGCGAUACAGGGUGACAGCCCCGUACACAAAAAUGCACAUGCUGUGAGCUCGAUGAGUAGGGCGGGACACGUGGUAUCCUGUCUGAAUAUGGGGGGACCAUCCUCCAAGGCUAAAUACUCCUGACUGACCGAUAGUGAACCAGUACCGUGAGGGAAAGGCGAAAAGAACCCCGGCGAGGGGAGUGAAAAAGAACCUGAAACCGUGUACGUACAAGCAGUGGGAGCACAGAGCAAUCUGUGUGACUGCGUACCUUUUGUAUAAUGGGUCAGCGACUUAUAUUCUGUAGCAAGGUUAACCGAAUAGGGGAGCCGAAGGGAAACCGAGUCUUAACUGGGCGUUAAGUUGCAGGGUAUAGACCCGAAACCCGGUGAUCUAGCCAUGGGCAGGUUGAAGGUUGGGUAACACUAACUGGAGGACCGAACCGACUAAUGUUGAAAAAUUAGCGGAUGACUUGUGGCUGGGGGUGAAAGGCCAAUCAAACCGGGAGAUAGCUGGUUCUCCCCGAAAGCUAUUUAGGUAGCGCCUCGUGAAUUCAUCUCCGGGGGUAGAGCACUGUUUCGGCAAGGGGGUCAUCCCGACUUACCAACCCGAUGCAAACUGCGAAUACCGGAGAAUGUUAUCACGGGAGACACACGGCGGGUGCUAACGUCCGUCGUGAAGAGGGAAACAACCCAGACCGCCAGCUAAGGUCCCAAAGUCAUGGUUAAGUGGGAAACGAUGUGGGAAGGCCCAGACAGCCAGGAUGUUGGCUUAGAAGCAGCCAUCAUUUAAAGAAAGCGUAAUAGCUCACUGGUCGAGUCGGCCUGCGCGGAAGAUGUAACGGGGCUAAACCAUGCACCGAAGCUGCGGCAGCGACGCUUAUGCGUUGUUGGGUAGGGGAGCGUUCUGUAAGCCUGUGAAGGUGUGCUGUGAGGCAUGCUGGAGGUAUCAGAAGUGCGAAUGCUGACAUAAGUAACGAUAAAGCGGGUGAAAAGCCCGCUCGCCGGAAGACCAAGGGUUCCUGUCCAACGUUAAUCGGGGCAGGGUGAGUCGACCCCUAAGGCGAGGCCGAAAGGCGUAGUCGAUGGGAAACAGGUUAAUAUUCCUGUACUUGGUGUUACUGCGAAGGGGGGACGGAGAAGGCUAUGUUGGCCGGGCGACGGUUGUCCCGGUUUAAGCGUGUAGGCUGGUUUUCCAGGCAAAUCCGGAAAAUCAAGGCUGAGGCGUGAUGACGAGGCACUACGGUGCUGAAGCAACAAAUGCCCUGCUUCCAGGAAAAGCCUCUAAGCAUCAGGUAACAUCAAAUCGUACCCCAAACCGACACAGGUGGUCAGGUAGAGAAUACCAAGGCGCUUGAGAGAACUCGGGUGAAGGAACUAGGCAAAAUGGUGCCGUAACUUCGGGAGAAGGCACGCUGAUAUGUAGGUGAAGUCCCUCGCGGAUGGAGCUGAAAUCAGUCGAAGAUACCAGCUGGCUGCAACUGUUUAUUAAAAACACAGCACUGUGCAAACACGAAAGUGGACGUAUACGGUGUGACGCCUGCCCGGUGCCGGAAGGUUAAUUGAUGGGGUCAGCGCAAGCGAAGCUCUUGAUCGAAGCCCCGGUAAACGGCGGCCGUAACUAUAACGGUCCUAAGGUAGCGAAAUUCCUUGUCGGGUAAGUUCCGACCUGCACGAAUGGCGUAAUGAUGGCCAGGCUGUCUCCACCCGAGACUCAGUGAAAUUGAACUCGCUGUGAAGAUGCAGUGUACCCGCGGCAAGACGGAAAGACCCCGUGAACCUUUACUAUAGCUUGACACUGAACAUUGAGCCUUGAUGUGUAGGAUAGGUGGGAGGCUUGGAAGUGUGGACGCCAGUCUGCAUGGAGCCGACCUUGAAAUACCACCCUUUAAUGUUUGAUGUUCUAACGUUGACCCGUAAUCCGGGUUGCGGACAGUGUCUGGUGGGUAGUUUGACUGGGGCGGUCUCCUCCUAAAGAGUAACGGAGGAGCACGAAGGUUGGCUAAUCCUGGUCGGACAUCAGGAGGUUAGUGCAAUGGCAUAAGCCAGCUUGACUGCGAGCGUGACGGCGCGAGCAGGUGCGAAAGCAGGUCAUAGUGAUCCGGUGGUUCUGAAUGGAAGGGCCAUCGCUCAACGGAUAAAAGGUACUCCGGGGAUAACAGGCUGAUACCGCCCAAGAGUUCAUAUCGACGGCGGUGUUUGGCACCUCGAUGUCGGCUCAUCACAUCCUGGGGCUGAAGUAGGUCCCAAGGGUAUGGCUGUUCGCCAUUUAAAGUGGUACGCGAGCUGGGUUUAGAACGUCGUGAGACAGUUCGGUCCCUAUCUGCCGUGGGCGCUGGAGAACUGAGGGGGGCUGCUCCUAGUACGAGAGGACCGGAGUGGACGCAUCACUGGUGUUCGGGUUGUCAUGCCAAUGGCACUGCCCGGUAGCUAAAUGCGGAAGAGAUAAGUGCUGAAAGCAUCUAAGCACGAAACUUGCCCCGAGAUGAGUUCUCCCUGACUCCUUGAGAGUCCUGAAGGAACGUUGAAGACGACGACGUUGAUAGGCCGGGUGUGUAAGCGCAGCGAUGCGUUGAGCUAACCGGUACUAAUGAACCGUGAGGCUUAACC
Molecule: ribosomal RNA, 2895 nt
Filed under: Escherichia coli
Lineage: Bacteria; Pseudomonadati; Pseudomonadota; Gammaproteobacteria; Enterobacterales; Enterobacteriaceae
Description: bacterial LSU rRNA
Rfam family: Bacterial large subunit ribosomal RNA
Source: RNAcentral